RNAcentral lists this long non-coding RNA (452 nucleotides) under Salmo trutta (river trout). RNAcentral describes it as "lncRNA (ENSSTUG00000034538.1)". The record is from RNAcentral. Lineage: Eukaryota; Metazoa; Chordata; Actinopteri; Salmoniformes; Salmonidae.
UUUGACUUUGUUUUCCGGCCGACCAUUAUUCUUGACGGAACGGUUGGCAGAAAGCAGCGAGACUUGUCUUGUGUUAGUGUUAUUUUGGAUCCUUAGUACGUCCCGACCGAAAUAAAGGAAAAGGUUUAGGGUAGGGACGUCCCAAGGAUACCAGAUAGCACUAAUCCAAGAUAAAUAUUUAACUGACGACUGCAUGAGUAACGUUAGCUACCAGAUAUAUGUGCUCGAUACAUACUAAUAUGAAAUGUUAUCCAAUACUUAUGUUUGAUUACCUAUAAAGCAUAAAAUAUAGCAACAUCUUUUUGUUUCGCACAUUUUGAAGAGGUGAUCACUUACAGGUGACUGCUUGACGGAGAAUAGGGGCAAACUGCCUCUGUAUACGGUCGACCAUGACGUCACUGGGGGGCAGCAGUUCCUCUUCUACAGAGUACAUAGUCCGGGUCCCCAAGUAA